GAUGAACGCUGGCGGCGUGCCUAACACAUGCAAGUCGAACGAAGCACCUUACCUGAUUCUUCGGUUGAAAUUUUGGUGACUGAGUGGCUGACGGGUGAGUAACGCGUUGGUAACCUGCGCUGUACAGCGGGAUAACAGCUGGAAACGGCUGCUAAUACCUCAACAGCGCACGAGGAGACAUCUCCUUGUGUUAAAAACUCCGGUGGGACAGGAUGGGCCCGCGUCUGAUUAGCUGGUUGGCAGGGUAACGGCCUAGCAAGGCAACGAUAGCUAGCCGGUAGGUGAGAAACGACCGACACACUGGAAGUGGGCCGCAGUACAAAAUCCUACGGGAUGCAGGAGUGGGGAAUAUUGCAAAACGGGGGAAGUGAUGAUGGAGUAACGCCGGGAGAGUGAAGAAGUAUUGCAGUAUGAAAAGCUCUAUAAGCAGGGAAGGUAAUGACGGUACCUAACGAAGAAGCACCGGCUAAAUACGUG
This 477-nucleotide ribosomal RNA is filed under the name uncultured bacterium. Its description in RNAcentral is "partial 16S ribosomal RNA". It matches the Rfam family "Bacterial small subunit ribosomal RNA", at positions 28 to 507 of the family's 1533-position model. The record is from RNAcentral.